GAUGAACGCUGGCGGCGUGCCUAAUACAUGCAAGUCGAGCGAACGGACGAGAAGCUUGCUCCUCUGAUGUUAGCGGCGGACGGGUGAGUAACACGUGGAUAACCUACCUAUAAGACUGGGAUAACUUCGGGAAACCGUAGCUAAUACCGGAUAAUAUUUUGAACCGCAUGGUUCAAAAGUGAAAGACGGUUUUGCUGUCACUUAUAGAUGGAUCCGCGCUGCAUUAGCUAGUUGGUAAGGUAACGGCUUACCAAGGCAACGAUGCGUAGCCGACCUGAGAGGGUGAUCGGCCACACUGGAACUGAGACACGGUCCAGACUCCUACGGGAGGCAGCAGUAGGGAAUCUUCCGCAAUGGGCGAAAGCCUGACGGAGCAACGCCGCGUGAGUGAUGAAGGUCUUCGGAUCGUAAAACUCUGUUAUUAGGGAAGAACAGAUGUGUAAGUAACUGUGCACGUCUUGACGGUACCUAAUCAGAAAGCCACGGCUAACUACGUG
This 497-nucleotide ribosomal RNA is filed under the name uncultured bacterium. RNAcentral describes it as "partial 16S ribosomal RNA". It matches the Rfam family "Bacterial small subunit ribosomal RNA", at positions 28 to 507 of the family's 1533-position model. The record is from RNAcentral.